CCUACGGGCGGCAGCAGUGAGGAAUAUUGGUCAAUGGCCGGAAGGCUGAACCAGCCAUGCCGCGUGAAGGUCAGUGCCCUAUGGGCGUUAAACUUCUUUUGUGCGGGAGCAAUAAUGGUCACGUGUGGCCAGACGAGAGUACCGUACGAAUAAGCAUCGGCUAACUCCGUGCCAGCAGCCGCGGUAAUACGGGGGAUGCAAGCGUUAUCCGGAUUUAUUGGGUUUAAAGGGUGCGUAGGCUGUGAGGUAAGUCAGCGGUGAAAUGCCCCCGCUCAACGGGGUGAAGUGCCAUUGAUACUGCCUGGCUGGAAUGCGGAUGCGGUGGGAGGAAUGUGUGGUGUAGCGGUGAAAUGCAUAGAUAUCACACAGAACACCGAUUGCGAAGGCAUCUCACGAAUCCGCGAUUGACGCUGAUGCACGAAAGCGUGGGUAUCAAACAGGAUUAGAUACCCGAGUAGUC
Molecule: ribosomal RNA, 460 nt
Filed under: uncultured bacterium
Lineage: Bacteria
Description: partial 16S ribosomal RNA
Rfam family: Bacterial small subunit ribosomal RNA
Source: RNAcentral